RNAcentral lists this ribosomal RNA (497 nucleotides) under uncultured bacterium. RNAcentral describes it as "partial 16S ribosomal RNA". It matches the Rfam family "Bacterial small subunit ribosomal RNA", at positions 28 to 507 of the family's 1533-position model. The record is from RNAcentral.
GACGAACGCUGGCGGCGUGCCUAGUACAUGCAAGUAGAACGCUGAAACUUGGUGCUUGCACCGAGCGGAUGAGUUGCGAACGGGUGAGUAACGCGUAGGUAACCUGCCUGGUAGCGGGGGAUAACUAUUGGAAACGAUAGCUAAUACCGCAUAAGAGUAGAUGUUGCAUGACAUUUGCUUAGAAGGUGCAAUUGCACCACUACCAGAUGGACCUGCGUUGUAUUAGCUAGUUGGUGGGGUAACGGCUCACCAAGGCGACGAUACAUAGCCGACCUGAGAGGGUGAUCGGCCACACUGGGACUGAGACACGGCCCAGACUCCUACGGGAGGCAGCAGUAGGGAAUCUUCGGCAAUGGACGGAAGUCUGACCGAGCAACGCCGCGUGAGUGAAGAAGGUUUUCGGAUCGUAAAGCUCUGUUGUAAGAGAAGAACGAGUGUGAGAGUGGAAAGUUCACACUGUGACGGUAUCUUACCAGAAAGGGACGGCUAACUACGUG